Molecule: non-coding RNA, 46 nt
Organism: Schistosoma margrebowiei
Lineage: Eukaryota; Metazoa; Platyhelminthes; Trematoda; Strigeidida; Schistosomatidae
Source: Rfam
GCACUGCUGAGGAGACCCAUAAUAGGACGAAACGACCGUCCAGUGC